AGUGAACGCUGGCGGCAGGCCUAACACAUGCAAGUCGAGCGGCAGCGCGUCCGACCACCCUCGGGUGGUCGGAUGGCGGCGAGCGGCGGACGGGUGAGGAAUGCAUCGGAAUCUGCCUCGUUGUGGGGGAUAACGUAGGGAAACUUACGCUAAUACCGCAUACGACCUACGGGUGAAAGUGGGGGACCUUCGGGCCUCACGCGAUGAGAUGAGCCGAUGCCGGAUUAGCUAGUUGGCGGGGUAAAGGCCCACCAAGGCGACGAUCCGUAGCUGGUCUGAGAGGAUGAUCAGCCACACUGGAACUGAGACACGGUCCAGACUCCUACGGGAGGCAGCAGUGGGGAAUAUUGGACAAUGGGGGCAACCCUGAUCCAGCCAUGCCGCGUGUGUGAAGAAGGCCUUCGGGUUGUAAAGCACUUUUGUUGGGGAAGAAACCGGCCGGGUUAAUACCCUGGUUGAAUGACGGUACCCAAAGAAUAAGCACCGGCUAACUUCGUGCCAGCAGCCGCGGUAAUACGAAGGGUGCAAGUGUUACUCGGAAUUACUGGGCGUAAAGCGUGCGUAGGCGGUUUGUUAAGUCUGCUGUGAAAGCCCUGGGCUCAACCUGGGAACUGCAGUGGAUACUGGCGAGCUA
This 634-nucleotide ribosomal RNA is filed under the name uncultured Dokdonella sp. RNAcentral describes it as "bacterial SSU rRNA". It matches the Rfam family "Bacterial small subunit ribosomal RNA", at positions 28 to 643 of the family's 1533-position model. Lineage: Bacteria; Pseudomonadati; Pseudomonadota; Gammaproteobacteria; Lysobacterales; Rhodanobacteraceae. The record is from RNAcentral.